UUUAAUGAGGUGUUUUGCAUUUUAUGUUUUGGUCAUAAAGGUGAUUAGUUGUCCGUUAAAU
Molecule: transfer RNA, 61 nt
Filed under: Echinococcus multilocularis
Lineage: Eukaryota; Metazoa; Platyhelminthes; Cestoda; Cyclophyllidea; Taeniidae
Description: tRNA-Gln
Source: RNAcentral